AUUGAACGCUGGCGGCAUGCCUUACACAUGCAAGUCGAACGGCAGCACGGGAGCAAUCCUGGUGGCGAGUGGCGAACGGGUGAGUAAUAUAUCGGAACGUGCCCGGUCGUGGGGGAUAACGUAGCGAAAGCUACGCUAAUACCGCAUACGAUCUACGGAUGAAAGCGGGGGGAUCGCAAGACCUCGCGCGAUUGGAGCGGCCGAUAUCAGAUUAGGUAGUUGGUGAGGUAAAGGCUCACCAAGCCGACGAUCUGUAGCUGGUCUGAGAGGACGACCAGCCACACUGGGACUGAGACACGGCCCAGACUCCUACGGGAGGCAGCAGUGGGGAAUUUUGGACAAUGGGCGAAAGCCUGAUCCAGCAAUGCCGCGUGCAGGAAGAAGGCCUCGGUU
Molecule: ribosomal RNA, 393 nt
Filed under: uncultured bacterium
Lineage: Bacteria
Description: bacterial SSU rRNA
Rfam family: Bacterial small subunit ribosomal RNA
Source: RNAcentral